RNAcentral lists this transfer RNA (92 nucleotides) under Clostridiales bacterium. Its description in RNAcentral is "tRNA-Ser". It matches the Rfam family "tRNA". Rfam says of the family: Transfer RNA (tRNA) molecules are approximately 80 nucleotides in length. Lineage: Bacteria; Bacillati; Bacillota; Clostridia; Eubacteriales. RNAcentral also lists the same sequence under 1 other name. The record is from RNAcentral.
GGAACGGUAAGCAUAACAGGUACUGCAGCGGAUUGCUAAUCCGUUCGUCGAUGGAUUUCGGCGUGUCGGUUCAACUCCGGCCCGUUCCACCA